This 395-nucleotide ribosomal RNA is filed under the name uncultured bacterium. RNAcentral describes it as "bacterial SSU rRNA". It matches the Rfam family "Bacterial small subunit ribosomal RNA", at positions 8 to 429 of the family's 1533-position model. The record is from RNAcentral.
AGAGUUUGAUCCUGGCUCAGAGCGAACGCUGGCGGCAGGCCUAACACAUGCAAGUCGAGCGGAUGUAGCAAUACAUCAGCGGCAGACGGGAGAGUAACACGUGGGAACGCGCCCUUCGGUUCGGAAUAACUCAGGGAAACUUGAGCUAAUACCGGAUACGCCCUUACGGGGAAAGAUUUAUUGCCGAAGGAACGGCCCGCGUCCGAUUAGCUAGUUGGUGAGGUAAUGGCUCACCAAGGCGACGAUCGGUAGCUGGUCUGAGAGGAUGACCAGCCUCACUGGGACUGAGACACGGCCCAGACUCCUACGGGAGGCAGCAGUGGGGAAUAUUGGACAAUGGGCGCAAGCCUGAUCCAGCCAUGCCGCGUGGGUGAUGAAGGCCCUAGGGUUGUAAA